AAAUUGAAGAGUUUGAUCAUGGCUCAGAUUGAACGCUGGCGGCAGGCCUAACACAUGCAAGUCGAACGGUAACAGGAAACAGCUUGCUGUUUCGCUGACGAGUGGCGGACGGGUGAGUAAUGUCUGGGAAACUGCCUGAUGGGGGGGGAUAACUACUGGAAACGGUAGCUAAUACCGCAUAACGUCGCAAGACCAAAGAGGGGGACCUUCGGGCCUCUUGCCAUCGGAUGUGCCCAGAUGGGAUUAGCUUGUUGGUGGGGUAACGGCUCACCAAGGCGACGAUCCCUAGCUGGUCUGAGAGGAUGACCAGCCACACUGGAACUGAGACACGGUCCAGACUCCUACGGGAGGCAGCAGUGGGGAAUAUUGCACAAUGGGCGCAAGCCUGAUGCAGCCAUGCCGCGUGUAUGAAGAAGGCCUUCGGGUUGUAAAGUACUUUCAGCGGGGAGGAAGGGAGUAAAGUUAAUACCUUUACUCAUUGACGUUACCCGCAGAAGAAGCACCGGCUAACUCCGUGCCAGCAGCCGCGGUAAUACGGAGGGUGCAAGCGUUAAUCGGAAUUACUGGGCGUAAAGCGCACGCAGGCGGUUUGUUAAGUCAGAUGUGAAAUCCCCGGGCUCAACCUGGGAACUGCAUCUGAUACUGGCAAGCUUGAGUCUCGUAGAGGGGGGUAGAAUUCCAGGUGUAGCGGUGAAAUGCGUAGAGAUCUGGAGGAAUACCGGUGGCGAAGGCGGCCCCCUGGACGAAGACUGACGCUCAGGUGCGAAAGCGUGGGGAGCAAACAGGAUUAGAUACCCUGGUAGUCCACGCCGUAAACGAUGUCGACUUGGAGGUUGUGCCCUUGAGGCGUGGCUUCCGGAGCUAACGCGUUAAGUCGACCGCCUGGGGAGUACGGCCGCAAGGUUAAAACUCAAAUGAAUUGACGGGGGCCCGCACAAGCGGUGGAGCAUGUGGUUUAAUUCGAUGCAACGCGAAGAACCUUACCUGGUCUUGACAUCCACGGAAGUUUUCAGAGAUGAGAAUGUGCCUUCGGGAACCGUGAGACAGGUGCUGCAUGGCUGUCGUCAGCUCGUGUUGUGAAAUGUUGGGUUAAGUCCCGCAACGAGCGCAACCCUUAUCCUUUGUUGCCAGCGGUCCGGCCGGGAACUCAAAGGAGACUGCCAGUGAUAAACUGGAGGAAGGUGGGGAUGACGUCAAGUCAUCAUGGCCCUUACGACCAGGGCUACACACGUGCUACAAUGGCGCAUACAAAGAGAAGCGACCUCGCGAGAGCAAGCGGACCUCAUAAAGUGCGUCGUAGUCCGGAUUGGAGUCUGCAACUCGACUCCAUGAAGUCGGAAUCGCUAGUAAUCGUGGAUCAGAAUGCCACGGUGAAUACGUUCCCGGGCCUUGUACACACCGCCCGUCACACCAUGGGAGUGGGUUGCAAAAGAAGUAGGUAGCUUAACCUUCGGGAGGGCGCUUACCACUUUGUGAUUCAUGACUGGGGUGAAGUCGUAACAAGGUAACCGUAGGGGAACCUGCGGUUGGAUCACCUCCUUA
Molecule: ribosomal RNA, 1542 nt
Filed under: Escherichia coli
Lineage: Bacteria; Pseudomonadati; Pseudomonadota; Gammaproteobacteria; Enterobacterales; Enterobacteriaceae
Also listed under: 3 other names
Description: bacterial SSU rRNA
Rfam family: Bacterial small subunit ribosomal RNA
Source: RNAcentral